Molecule: ribosomal RNA, 813 nt
Filed under: uncultured bacterium
Lineage: Bacteria
Description: bacterial SSU rRNA
Rfam family: Bacterial small subunit ribosomal RNA
Source: RNAcentral
CACAUGCAAGUCGAACGAUGAAGCCUUAGCUUGCUAAGGUGGAUUAGUGGCGCACGGGUGAGUAAUAUAUAGAUAACGUGCCUCUUAGUCUGGGAUAGCCAUUGGAAACGAUGAUUAAUACUAGAUACUCCUUCUCAUUAUAAUAUGAGUCGGGAAAGUUUUUCGCUAAGAGAUCGGUCUAUAUCCCAUCAGUUAGUUGGUAAGGUAACGGCUUACCAAGACAAUGACGGGUAGCGGGUUUGAGAGGAUGAUCCGCCACACUGGUACUGAGACACGGACCAGACUCCUACGGGAGGCAGCAGUGAGGAAUAUUGCACAAUGGGGGAAACCCUGAUGCAGCAACGCCGCGUGGAGGAUGACGCAUUUCGGUGUGUAAACUCCUUUUAUAGGUCAAGAAAAUGACGGUAGCCUAUGAAUAAGCACCGGCUAACUCCGUGCCAGCAGCCGCGGUAAUACGGAGGGUGCAAGCGUUAUUCGGAAUCACUGGGCGUAAAGGACACGUAGGCGGGAAGCCAAGUCUGAUGUGAAAUCCUAUGGCUUAACCAUAGAACUGCAUUGGAAACUGGUUACCUAGAGUAUGGGAGGGGGAGAUGGAAUUAGUGGUGUAGGGGUAAAAUCCGUAGAUAUCACUAGGAAUACCUAAAGCGAAGGCGAUCUCCUGGAACAUUACUGACGCUAAGGUGUGAAAGCGUGGGGAGCAAACGGGAUUAGAUACCCCGGUAGUCCACGCCCUAAACGAUGUUCACUAGUCGUCGGGAUGCUAGUCAUCUCGGUGAUGCACUUAACAGAUUAAGUGAACCGCCUGGGGAGUAC